This 380-nucleotide ribosomal RNA is filed under the name uncultured eukaryote. RNAcentral's name for it is "partial 18S ribosomal RNA". It matches the Rfam family "Eukaryotic small subunit ribosomal RNA", at positions 592 to 976 of the family's 1831-position model. The record is from RNAcentral.
CAAUAGCGUAUAUUAAAGUUGUUGCAGUUAAAAAGCUCGUAGUUGGAUUUGUGGUGUACUUCGGCGGCCCGUCACUAUGUGAUGGAGCUUGCUGAAGUCGCCAUCCUUGGGUGGAUCCUGUGUGGCAUUAGGUUGUCGUGCAGGGGAUGCUCAUCGUUUACUGUGAAAAAAUUAGAGUGUUCAAAGCAGGCUUACGCCGUUGAAUAUAUUAGCAUGGAAUAAUAAGAUAGGACCUUGGUACUAUUUUGUUGGUUUGCGCACCGAGGUAAUGAUUAACAGGGACAGUUGGGGGUAUUCGUAUUCCAUUGUCAGAGGUGAAAUUCUUGGAUUUCUGGAAGACGAACUACUGCGAAAGCAUUUACCAAGGAUGUUUNCAUUAA